GACGAACGCUGGCGGCGUGCUUAGCACAUGCAAGUCGAACGGAAAGACCCUGCUUUUGUGGGGUGCUCGAGUGGCGAACGGGUGAGUAACACGUGAGUAACCUGCCCUUGACUUUGUGAUAACUUCAGGAAACUGGGGCUAAUACCGGAUAGGAGCUCCUGCUGCAUGGUGGGGGUUGGAAAGUUUCGGCGGUUGGGGAUGGACUCGCGGCUUAUCAGCUUGUUGGUGGGGUAGUGGCUUACCAAGGCUUUGACGGGUAGCCGGCCUGAGAGGGUGACCGGCCACAUUGGGAAUGAGAUACGGCCCAGACUGCUACGGGAGGCAGCAGUGGGGAAUAUUGCAAAAUGGGCGGAAGCCUGAUGCAGCAACGCAGCGUGCGGGAUGACGGCCUUCGGGUUGUAAACCGAUUUCGCCUGUGACGAAGCGUGAGUGACGGUAAUGGGUAAAGAAGCACCGGCUAACUACGUG
RNAcentral lists this ribosomal RNA (468 nucleotides) under uncultured bacterium. RNAcentral's name for it is "partial 16S ribosomal RNA". It matches the Rfam family "Bacterial small subunit ribosomal RNA", at positions 28 to 507 of the family's 1533-position model. The record is from RNAcentral.